AAAUAAACCUCUGGAGAGCCAGUUGCCCAGCUCUUCCAGAAGAGAGACUAGACACGCAGCUGGGCAUGCGGCCAGAGCCCAAGAAAAGCCUGGUUUGCCAGGGGCAGAUUACAGUCAACAGGAGCAGCCGAUCCUAACCCAGAUCAAAGAUCCUGGGACAGCUGGAACAGGCAUGGCCUAAUGGAACUCCCAAGUGGACAGGGCCAGGCAUGGAAGGACAGAGCUUCUGAAACAGUCCUCAGACCCCGUGCAUCUGGAUCUUUCUGUAGGAGCCACCCAUCAGCGGUGCCAGACAGAACCAAGCACAUGCACUGACCCACCGCAUGAUGGGAGCUGGUGUGGGUGGGCUUGUUUGCUUUAGCCAUGCCCACAGACAGGAACAGAAGAGCACGGUGGAGGCCACCAGCCCUCUCGCCUGCUAUUUCAAAAGGGGUUGCAGAAGGGCUGGAAAGCGGUUCCCACUGUGGUUGCCCCCUUCCUCUCUGUAGCACACACAGACCUGAAAAUAACCAGAGAAGGACUGCGAGCUGCCAGCCUAAAACAGGAAGGCUGCAGAAAGUCCUAGGCUCAGAUAGGAGAGUUUAAAAGAAUGUUGAAACCAAGAACGGGCAUCACAGAUCCCACCUGUCUCUGCACCAAAGCAGACCUCCCCCUCUCUAAUCUACUGGUGGGAAGCCUGUGUGCUCUGUAGUCAUGCACAUCCCAGCUUUACCACUUGCUGGCUGUGUGACUUAAGCAAGUUAUUUAACCUCUCUGAGCCCCUAUUUCCUGAUUUGUAAGAUAAGAGCAGCAAUAAACAAAUUUUUAGUGUUGUGGUUCACAUGAAAAAAUUUAAUCCUGGCCAGGCCGGAUGCGGUGCCUCACACCUGUAAUCCCAGCACUUUGGGAGGCCAAGGUGGGCAGAUCACGAGGUCAGGAGUUCGAGACCAGCCUGACCAACAUGAUAAAACCACAUCUCUACUAAAAAUACAAAAAUUAGCCGGGCAUGGUGGUGCGUGCCGGUAGUCCCAGCUACUCAGGAGGCUGAGGCAGGAGAAUCACUUGAACCCAGGAGGCGGAGGUUGCAGUGAGCCGAGAUGGCACCACUGCACUCCAGCCUGGGCAAGAAGAACGAAACUCCAUCUCAAGAAAAAGAAAAAAAGAAAGAGAAGAAAGCAUACCUGCACAAUUCAGCCUGACCUGCCCUCACCCAGACAACAGAAGGAACAAUGAAGACUUUAGUUGUCUGAGCCAGAACACUUCUCAGAUAACUGUGCUGCUUACAAAUUGCUUCACAUACACAAUCUCCUCUGAAAUUCUCAAUCCUGAAUGCUGGGAGGCAUUGCCCCCAAUUUUCAGAUGAGUAGACUGAGGCUAAGAGAGGUAAAGUGGCUUGUUCAAAACUGCACUACUAGUAACUGGCAGCUCUAGGGUGAGGUCUGGCUCCUGGCCCAGGACUCUCACUGAGCAAGGGCUCGGUGGGCACCCAGGACCAAAGACACUACAGACCAUGGCAGCAGGCACUUGGUGUUCUGUAGUCUGUGAGGGGAGAGCAGAGAGCAGAACCUGGUGUGUGGGACACCCUCUCCUUCACCGGUGUUCCUGCAGGGACCCUCCGUCUCCUGUAAAGGAGGAAGCCCUAGGCUGACUCCCAGCAAGCAAGUCCUCUCUCACCUUUCACCUGAAGCGAUGAAGCAUCUUAAAGUUUGUCAAAAGCACAAGUCUAUAGGAGACCCACAGAAUAAAUAUGUAAGGUUAUUUUGAA
RNAcentral lists this non-coding RNA (1744 nucleotides) under Pongo abelii (Sumatran orangutan). Lineage: Eukaryota; Metazoa; Chordata; Mammalia; Primates; Hominidae. The record is from RNAcentral.